GGCUUGUUGAUUAUAAUUUCAGGUCUAGCCUGCCCAAUGAGUAUUAAAUGGCCGCGGUAUAUUGACCGUGCAAAGGUAGCAUAAUCAUUAGUUUUUUAAUUGAAAGCUGGAAUGAAAGGUUGGAUGAGAAGAUUUCUGUCUCUAUUAAAAUUUAUUAGAAUUUUAUUUUUAAGUGAAAAAGCUUAAAUUUGUAUAGAAGACGAGAAGACCCUAUAGAGUUUUAUAUUUUCAAUUAAAAUUGGUUUUAAGGUGGAGGAAGGUUAAUUUUUUUGAUAUUAUUUUGUUGGGGUGAUGGAAAAAUUAAAUAAACUUUUUCUAGUAAGAACAUUUAUUUGUGGUUUGUUGAUCCUGUGUUUCAGAUUGAUAGAUUAAAUUACCUUAGGGAUAACAGCGUAAUUUUCUUUAGAGCUCUUAUCAAAAAGAAAGUUUGCGACCUCGAUGUUGGAUUAAAAUUUAUUAUUGGUGUAGAAGCUAAUAGAUUAGGUCUGUUCGACCUUUGAAAUUUUACAUGAUCUGAGUUUAAACCGGCGUGAG
Molecule: ribosomal RNA, 534 nt
Filed under: Trigonopterus fraterculus
Lineage: Eukaryota; Metazoa; Arthropoda; Insecta; Coleoptera; Curculionidae
Description: partial large subunit ribosomal RNA
Rfam family: Bacterial large subunit ribosomal RNA
Source: RNAcentral